UGUUUGAUUUGACAGUUGCUUUUGAAGAUUGUAUCUAGACUUCCCCGUGUAUUCCCCUGUUUUUGUGAAGCACCAAAUAAGGAUAUCUUGAUUAUCAGAUAUGGUAGGUCUUAGAGUCAGAACAUAGCUCGGGUAUUCUCUAUUCUGCUCUAAAUAUAUUUAUUCAUGCUGAUAUGUACUGAAAGUUUUUUUUUAUCUUUUUGUAUGUUUUUUGACAAUGAAUUCAUGUCUGUAUACUAUUUAAAUUUAUUGACAGGUAUUUAUAAUUGAUAAACCCUAAAACAUAGAGAAUAAAAAAGUUAACCUUUGAGAUCACCAAUUGAAACCAUCUCGUUGGUGGCUGAAUCUAUUGAAAUAAUUCUAUAUAUGCUCUGUGUUAUGAAAAUUGAUGUGGAAUGAAACUAAAAUGAUCUAUGGAAAUUUGGUUUAAGAUUAAUUUUGGUAGCCUGCGUGCUAAAUAUACUUUGUUAACCAAUAACUUAUAAACAGGCAUGGUUUGGUU
This 502-nucleotide long non-coding RNA is filed under the name Brassica napus (rape). RNAcentral's name for it is "long non-coding RNA (BNAP_LNC007275)". The record is from RNAcentral. Lineage: Eukaryota; Viridiplantae; Streptophyta; Magnoliopsida; Brassicales; Brassicaceae.